AUGAACAUGCAAGGCCAGAUUCAUUUUUCUAUAUUAAAAAAUGUGUACUUUCUUUGAAAGUGGGACAAAGAGGAAUACAAGAAACUAAGACUCACAGGAGAGAGUGGAAAGGAUGGAAAACCAGAGCAGCCAGUCAAGAGGGAGUUUCGGUAUCACAGGGACUAUAAAGUGGGCUCGUCUUCCCAAGAUUGGAUUCCAAAUGUCAUGACCAAGACAACCCCACCAUCUGAGAUGGGAGGAUAUUACUGCAAUGUCUGUGACUGUGUGAGAGACUCCAUCAACUUCCUGGAUCAUAUUAAUGGAAAGAAUCAACAGAACCUGGGCAUGCCUAUGCAUGUGGGAUGUUCUAUCCUAGAUCAGGUGAAGAAAGGCUUUGAGGUCGGUCAAUAAGACCUAAACCAGCUGAAGGAUUAUGAUUUUGAGCAGAGGAUGAAGAAACUCAGGAAGAAAAGGCUAAAGCAUUCAAGAAAGAAAAGAAGAACAUGAGAGUGGAGGAGGACUUGACAUUUGAGGAGGAGGAGAUGGUGGCUGUGAUGGGCUUCUUGGCUGUGGUUCCACCAAGAAGAGUUUCUGA
Molecule: RNA transcript, 574 nt
Organism: Dipodomys ordii (Ord's kangaroo rat)
Lineage: Eukaryota; Metazoa; Chordata; Mammalia; Rodentia; Heteromyidae
Gene name: zinc finger matrin-type protein 2 pseudogene
Exons: 2
Source: RefSeq, a predicted model, not a curated record